This 444-nucleotide long non-coding RNA is filed under the name Oryza sativa (Asian cultivated rice). Its description in RNAcentral is "long non-coding RNA (OSAT_LNC001684)". The record is from RNAcentral. Lineage: Eukaryota; Viridiplantae; Streptophyta; Magnoliopsida; Poales; Poaceae.
CAUAGCAAAAAUGGCGAAGAGCACAGAGUCAGAUAAAGCUAUAGAGAACUAGGGCUCCAGGAGAUGGGGGCCGAAUGACAACCAUGGCGCUUAGUCGACCUCCUCCAUCUUGCUCUCGCCGGCGUCGUCCUCCAGCGGCGGCAUGUCGGCGUCAGCCUCAGCAGACUCGUCCUCGUCGAUGCUCAGGCCGAGCUUGAGCAUCCGGUGGAUCCUGGUGCCGAAGGUGUUGGGGUCCUCAAGGCUGAAGCCGGAGGUCAGGAGGGCAGUCUCGAAGAGCAGCAUCACCAGGUCCUUCACAGACUUGUCGUUCUUGUCAGCAUCGGCACGCUUGCGGAGCUCGUCCAUGAUGGAAUUCUCCGGGUUGAUCUCCAUGGUCUUCUUGCUCGACAUGUAGCCGGCCAUGCUGGAGUCCCUCAGAGCCUGGGCCUUCAUGAUCCUCUCCAU